AAAUCAUAUCUUUCAAAUAGCUCUUAUAACGAAGAUCUUUUUAAAGGCGAGAUACUUUAAAUAUCUUCAUUCUAAGGUAAAGAUAGGACGAAUAAAAGCUAGAAUCAAAACGAGGAUAAGCCAAAUAAUACUUAGAGUAGGGUUGAUAUCCGUAGAUACUAAGUGGAAUACUAAAAGUGAAACUAUUUAUCUAGGAAUGAUUGACGCUGAGAAACGAAGGUGAGAAUAGGAA
This 232-nucleotide ribosomal RNA is filed under the name Termitomyces heimii. RNAcentral describes it as "partial 12S ribosomal RNA". Lineage: Eukaryota; Fungi; Basidiomycota; Agaricomycetes; Agaricales; Lyophyllaceae. The record is from RNAcentral.